RNAcentral lists this ribosomal RNA (415 nucleotides) under uncultured bacterium. RNAcentral describes it as "bacterial SSU rRNA". It matches the Rfam family "Bacterial small subunit ribosomal RNA", at positions 29 to 490 of the family's 1533-position model. The record is from RNAcentral.
AACGAACGCUGGCGGCAGGCUUAACACAUGCAAGUCGAACGCCCCCUUCGGGGGGAGUGGCAGACGGGUGAGUAACGCGUGGGAACCUACCUAUCAGUACGGAACAACUCAGGGAAACUUGUGCUAAUACCGUAUACGUCCUUCGGAGAAAGAUUUAUCGCUGAUAGAUGGGCCCGCGUUAGAUUAGCUAGUUGGUGAGGUAAUGGCUCACCAAGGCGACGAUCUAUAGCUGGUCUGAGAGGAUGAUCAGCCACACUGGAACUGAGACACGGCCCAGACUCCUACGGGAGGCAGCAGUGGGGAAUUUUCCGCAAUGGGCGAAAGCCUGACGGAGCAAGACCGCGUGGGGAGGAAGGUUUUUGGAUCGUAAACCCCUUUUGUCAAGGAGAAGCUCUGACGGUACUUGACGAAUAAG